RNAcentral lists this non-coding RNA (262 nucleotides) under bovine gut metagenome. The record is from RNAcentral.
GUGACCGGUGCCGCCUCCAGGAGGCGGAUAAUAGGGAAGCAGGUGAGAAUCCUGCGCGAUCCCGUCACUGUGAGAGCGAACAGGGCAGCAACAAGUCACUGGGCGAUUGCCUGGGAAGGCGCUGCCUCUCCGCCGCCACCUGCAGCAGAAAGAAGUGUGUAUGCGUAUCGCAGGAAACGAUCCGCGUGCACAGGAUCCAAAGAGGAUCCGGCUGCAGGGAUACAGAGCGGUAUGCUUCAGCCAGGAGACCUGCCGGCCAUGA